AGAACGAACGCUGGCGGCAUGCCUAAUACAUGCAAGUCGAACGAACACUGCGGUGUUAGUGGCGCACGGGUGCGUAACGCGUGGGAAUCUGCCCUUGGGUUCGGAAUAACAGUUGGAAACGACUGCUAAUACCGGAUGAUAUCGAAAGAUCAAAGAUUUAUCGCCCAGGGAUGAGCCCGCGUAGGAUUAGCUAGUUGGUGAGGUAAAGGCUCACCAAGGCGACGAUCCUUAGCUGGUCUGAGAGGAUGAUCAGCCACACUGGGACUGAGACACGGCCCAGACUCCUACGGGAGGCAGCAGUAGGGAAUAUUGGACAAUGGGCGCAAGCCUGAUCCAGCAAUGCCGCGUGAGUGAUGAAGGCCUUAGGGUUGUAAAGCUACUUUUUACCCGAGAUGAUAAUGACAGUAUGGAGAAGUAACGCCCGGACUAACCUACCGUCGCCACGCGAACGCCGAC
Molecule: ribosomal RNA, 456 nt
Filed under: uncultured soil bacterium
Lineage: Bacteria
Description: bacterial SSU rRNA
Rfam family: Bacterial small subunit ribosomal RNA
Source: RNAcentral